AAUCCAUAGGUUAAUGAGGCGAACCGGGGGAACUGAAACAUCUAAGUACCCCGAGGAAAAGAAAUCAACCGAGAUUCCCCCAGUAGCGGCGAGCGAACGGGGAGGAGCCCAGAGCCUGAAUCAGCAUGUGUGUUAGUGGAAGCGUCUGGAAAGGCGCGCGAUACAGGGUGACAGCCCCGUACACAAAAGCGCAUGUGCUGUGAGCUCGAUGAGUAGGGCGGGACACGUGGUAUCCUGUCUGAAUAUGGGGGGACCAUCCUCCAAGGCUAAAUACUCCUGACUGACCGAUAGUGAACCAGUACCGUGAGGGAAAGGCGAAAAGAACCCCGGCGAGGGGAGUGAAAAAGAACCUGAAACCGUGUACGUACAAGCAGUGGGAGCCCCACCACCAAAGCAUUCUCUGGUGUUGAAGGCCCUGCAAAGCAGCAUCGCGGUGGCGGAGCGUCGUUUGCGACGCCCAACACACAAAACAAGCGGUGAGUGCUUUGGGGUGGGGUGACUGCGUACCUUUUGUAUAAUGGGUCAGCGACUUAUAUUCUGUAGCAAGGUUAACCGAAUAGGGGAGCCGGAGGGAAACCGAGUCUUAACCGGGCGUUAAGUUGCAGGGUAUAGACCCGAAACCCGGUGAUCUAGCCAUGGGCAGGUUGAAGGUUGGGUAACACUAACUGGAGGACCGAACCGACUAAUGUUGAAAAAUUAGCGGAUGACCUGUGGCUGGGGGUGAAAGGCCAAUCAAACCGGGAGAUAGCUGGUUCUCCCCGAAAGCUAUUUAGGUAGCGCCUCGUGAAUUCAUCUCCGGGGGUAGAGCACUGUUUCGGCUAGGGGGCCAUCCCGGCUUACCAACCCGAUGCAAACUGCGAAUACCGGAGAAUGUUAUCACGGGAGACACACGGCGGGUGCUAACGUCCGUCGUGAAGAGGGAAACAACCCAGACCGCCAGCUAAGGUCCCAAAGUCAUGGUUAAGUGGGAAACGAUGUGGGAAGGCCCAGACAGCCAGGAUGUUGGCUUAGAAGCAGCCAUCAUUUAAAGAAAGCGUAAUAGCUCACUGGUCGAGUCGGCCUGCGCGGAAGAUGUAACGGGGCUAAACCAUGCACCGAAGCUGCGGCAGCGAACGUAUCACCCAAGACAACUUUACGGAGUUGACGAUUGACGGAGCGAAGCGACGUCAAAGCGUAUACAAAGUCGAGUUGGCUUAGGGAUACGUUCGUUGGGUAGGGGAGCGUUC
Molecule: ribosomal RNA, 1226 nt
Filed under: Salmonella enterica subsp. enterica serovar Wangata
Lineage: Bacteria; Pseudomonadati; Pseudomonadota; Gammaproteobacteria; Enterobacterales; Enterobacteriaceae
Description: partial 23S ribosomal RNA
Rfam family: Bacterial large subunit ribosomal RNA
Source: RNAcentral